RNAcentral lists this unclassified non-coding RNA (296 nucleotides) under uncultured Ascomycota. RNAcentral describes it as "sequence contains ITS1". The stretch from base 1 to 105 matches the Rfam family "5.8S ribosomal RNA", at positions 50 to 154 of the family's 154-position model. The record is from RNAcentral. Lineage: Eukaryota; Fungi; Ascomycota.
GAAAUGCGAUAAGUAGUGUGAAUUGCAGAAUUCAGUGAAUCAUCGAAUCUUUGAACGCACAUUGCGCCCUUUGGCAUUCCGAAGGGCAUACCUGUUCGAGCGUCAUUUAAACCCCUCAAGCUCAGCUUGGUUUUGGGCGUCUUGUCUGAAUAGACUCGCCUUAAAAAUAUCGGCACUAUCUUGCUUGUUAGGAACGCAGUACAUUGUUGCUCCUGGUAGAAGCAGGUUGGUAGCUACUUAACCUUUUAUAAUUACCAUUUGACCUCGGAUCAGGUAGGGAUACCCGCUGAACUUAA